RNAcentral lists this ribosomal RNA (491 nucleotides) under uncultured bacterium. RNAcentral describes it as "partial 16S ribosomal RNA". It matches the Rfam family "Bacterial small subunit ribosomal RNA", at positions 29 to 506 of the family's 1533-position model. The record is from RNAcentral.
AGUGAACGCUGGCGGUAGGCCUAACACAUGCAAGUCGAACGGCAGCACAGUAAGAGCUUGCUCUUACGGGUGGCGAGUGGCGGACGGGUGAGGAAUACAUCGGAAUCUACUUUUUCGUGGGGGAUAACGUAGGGAAACUUACGCUAAUACCGCAUACGACCUACGGGUGAAAGCAGGGGAUCUUCGGACCUUGCGCGAUUGAAUGAGCCGAUGUCGGAUUAGCUAGUUGGCGGGGUAAAGGCCCACCAAGGCGACGAUCCGUAGCUGGCCUGAGAGGAGGAUCAGCCACACUGGAACUGAGACACGGUCCAGACUCCGACGGGAGGCAGCAGGGGGGAAUAUUGGACAAUGGGCGCAAGCCUGAUCCAGCCAUACCGCGUGGGUGAAGAAGGCCUUCGGGUUGUAAAGCCCUUUUGUUGGGAAAGAAAAGCAGCAGGUUAAUACCCCGCUGUUCUGACGGUACCCAAAGAAUAAGCACCGGCUAACUUCGU